Molecule: long non-coding RNA, 875 nt
Organism: Eriocheir sinensis (Chinese mitten crab)
Lineage: Eukaryota; Metazoa; Arthropoda; Malacostraca; Decapoda; Varunidae
Exons: 3
Source: RefSeq, a predicted model, not a curated record
UAAGGGUGUUGAAGUCAGGUCAGGCUAGGUUAAGUUAGUUCAGGGGUUUGUGUUAAGAAGGGGGCUGAGGUCAAGUUAGGUCAGGUUAGCUGGGUGACCGAAACUAAGGGUGUUGAAGUCAGGUCAGGCUAGGUUAAGUUAGUUCAGGGGUUUGUGUUAAGAAGGGGGCUGAGGUCAAGUUAGGUCAGGUUAGCUGGGUGACGGAUACUAAGGGUGUUGAAGUCAGGUCAGGCUAGGUUAAGUUAGUUCAGGGGUUUGUGUUAAGAAAGGGGCUGAGGUCAAGUUAGGUCAGGUUAGCUGGGUGACGGAUACUAAGGGUGUUGAAGUCAGGUCAGGCUAGGUUAAGUUAGUUCAGGGGUUUAAGAAUGGCCAGGCAAAGUGAUGGGUUAGGUCAAGUUGGGUUAGGUGGGUCAGGUCAGGUUAGGUUAAGUUAGUUCAGGGGUUUGUGUUAAGAAGGGGGCUGAGGUCAAGUUAGGUCAGGUUAGCUGGGUGACGGAUACUAAGGGUGUUGAAGUCAGGUCAGGCUAGGUUAAGUUAGUUCAGGGGUUUAAGAAUGGCCAGGCAAAGUGAUGGGUUAGGUCAAGUUGGGUUAGGUGGGUCAGGUCAGGUUAGGUUAAGUUAGUUCAGGGGUUUGUGUUAAGAAAAGGUCUGAGGUCAAGUUAGGUCAGGUUAGCUGGGUGACGGAUACUAAGGGUGUUGAAGUCAGGUCAGGCUAGGUCAAGUUAGUUCAGGGGUUUGUGUUAAGAAGGGGGCUGAGGUCAAGUUAGGUCAGGUUAGCUGGGUGACGGAAACUAAGAGUGUUGAAGUCAGGUCAGGCUAGGUUAAGUUAGUUCAGGGGUUUAAGAAUGGCCAGGCAAAGUGAUGGGUUAGGUCAA